Molecule: ribosomal RNA, 492 nt
Filed under: uncultured bacterium
Lineage: Bacteria
Description: partial 16S ribosomal RNA
Rfam family: Bacterial small subunit ribosomal RNA
Source: RNAcentral
AGUGAACGCUAGCGGUAGGCCUAACACAUGCAAGUCGAACGGCAGCACAGUAAGAGCUUGCUCUUACGGGUGGCGAGUGGCGGACGGGUGAGGAAUACAUCGGAAUCUACUUUUUCGUGGGGGAUAACGUAGGGAAACUUACGCUAAUACCGCAUACGACCUACGGGUGAAAGCAGGGGAUCUUCGGACCUUGCGCGAUUGAAUGAGCCGAUGUCGGAUUAGCUAGUUGGCGGGGUAAAGGCCCACCAAGGCGACGAUCCGUAGCUGGUCUGAGAGGAUGACCAGCCACACUGGAACUGAGACACGGUCCAGACUCCUACGGGAGGCAGCAGUGGGGAAUAUUGGACAAUGGGCGCAAGCCUGAUCCAGCCAUACCGCGUGGGUGAAGAAGGCCUUCGGGUUGGAAAGCCCUUUUGUUGGGAAAGAAAAGCAGCAGGUUAAUACCCCGCUGUUCUGACGGUACCCAAAGAAUAAGCACCGGCUAACUUCGUG